ACAUUGCUCAAUGUAGCUGCGCUGUGAUUUUUUAUGUCUAUCAAUGCUCAACGACGACAUAUCAGAGCAUAUAUUCUGGAUCUUAAUAUCUGUGGUAUCAUUGGAAUCUUUCGCAAAACCAGGUCCAUCAGACAUUACAGAAAUAUCAAAGGCAUUUGUGGUACUGUUUGGCAUUAUAUGUUUAUGUUUGUCCUUUAAUGACGG
This 204-nucleotide long non-coding RNA is filed under the name Nicotiana benthamiana. Its description in RNAcentral is "long non-coding RNA (NBEN_LNC000161)". Lineage: Eukaryota; Viridiplantae; Streptophyta; Magnoliopsida; Solanales; Solanaceae. The record is from RNAcentral.